Molecule: ribosomal RNA, 253 nt
Filed under: uncultured bacterium
Lineage: Bacteria
Description: partial 16S ribosomal RNA
Rfam family: Bacterial small subunit ribosomal RNA
Source: RNAcentral
UACAGAGGGUGCGAGCGUUAAUCGGAAUUACUGGGCGUAAAGCGUGCGCAGGCGGCUUUGCAAGACAGAUGUGAAAUCCCCGGGCUCAACCUGGGAACUGCAUUUGUGACUGCAAGGCUAGAGUACGGUAGAGGGGGAUGGAAUUCCGCGUGUAGCAGUGAAAUGCGUAGAUAUGCGGAGGAACACCGAUGGCGAAGGCAAUCCCCUGGACCUGUACUGACGCUCAUGCACGAAAGCGUGGGGAGCAAACAGG